CCCGCUGAACUUAAGCAUAUCAAUAAGCGGAGGAAAAGAAACUAACAAGGAUUCCCCUAGUAACUGCGAGUGAAGCGGGAAGAGCUCAAAUUUGAAAUCUGGCUCUUUCAGGGUCCGAGUUGUAAUUUGCAGAAGAUGCUUUGGGUGUGGCUCCGGUCUAAGUUCCUUGGAACAGGACGUCAUAGAGGGUGAGAAUCCCGUACGUGACUGGGGUGCCUUCGCUCGUGUAAAGCUCUUUCGACGAGUCGAGUUGUUUGGGAAUGCAGCUCAAAAUGGGUGGUAAAUUUCAUCUAAAGCUAAAUAUUGGCCAGAGACCGAUAGCGCACAAGUAGAGUGAUCGAAAGAUGAAAAGCACUUUGGAAAGAGAGUUAAACAGUACGUGAAAUUGUUGAAAGGGAAGCGCUUGCAAUCAGACUUGCGCGCUGUUGAUCAUCCGAGGUUUUCCCCGGUGCACUCGGCAGCGUUCAGGCCAGCAUCGGUUUUGGUGGGCGGAUAAAGGCCUUGGGAAUGUAGCUUCUUUCGGGGAGUGUUAUAGCCCUCGGUGCAAUGCGCCCUACCGGGACCGAGGACCGCGCUUCGGCUAGGAUGCUGGCGUAAUGGUUGUAAGCGACCCGUCUUGAAACACGG
Molecule: ribosomal RNA, 627 nt
Filed under: uncultured fungus
Lineage: Eukaryota; Fungi
Description: eukaryotic LSU rRNA
Rfam family: Eukaryotic large subunit ribosomal RNA
Source: RNAcentral